This 305-nucleotide ribosomal RNA is filed under the name uncultured bacterium. RNAcentral's name for it is "bacterial SSU rRNA". It matches the Rfam family "Bacterial small subunit ribosomal RNA", at positions 331 to 653 of the family's 1533-position model. The record is from RNAcentral.
CCGGCCUACGGGAUGCAGCAGUGGGGGAUAUUGGACAAUGGGGGGAACCCUGAUCCAGCGACGCCGCGUGAGUGAAGAAGUAUUUCGGUAUGUAAAGCUCUGUCAGCAGGGAAGAAAGCAAUGACGGUACCUGACCAAGAAGCCCCGGCUAACUACGUGCCAGCAGCCGCGGUAAUUCGUAGGGGGCAAGCGUUAUCCGGAAUUACUGGGUGUAAAGGGAGCGUAGAAGGCUGUGCAAGUCUGGUGUGAAAGGCGGGGGCCCAACCUCCAGACUGCUCUGUAAACUGUAUGGCUGGAGUGCGGGG